This 250-nucleotide ribosomal RNA is filed under the name uncultured prokaryote. Its description in RNAcentral is "partial 16S ribosomal RNA". It matches the Rfam family "Bacterial small subunit ribosomal RNA", at positions 524 to 773 of the family's 1533-position model. The record is from RNAcentral.
UACAUAGGGAGUGAGCGUUAUCCGGAUUUAUUGGGUGUAAAGGGUGCGUAGACGGGAAUUUAAGUUGGUUGUGAAAUCCCUCGGCUCAACUGAGGAACUGCAACCAAAACUGGAUUUCUUGAGUGCUGGAGAGGGAAGUGGAAUUCCUAGUGUAGCGGUGAAGUGCGUAGAUAUUAGGAGGAACACCAGUGGCGAAGGCGACUUCCUGGACAGUAACUGACGUUGAGGCACGAAAGUGUGGGGAGCAAAC